GUGAAAAUAUGGUGAAUAUUAUUUUCCAUGUUAUUUUCACGUUGAGGCAAAGUGAAAAUAAGGUGAAUGUUAAUUUCUACCAAAGUGCCACGUAGUAUCUACGGCCAGAGGGUCAUCCGCCCGACAAGGAUAUAUGAGUGUAGAUUGUAGUAGGAAUAUUUUGCUCUAUGUUAGGAUGAUAAAAAAACGUUACUGGAUACCUUAAAAUUUUUUGCAUUAUGAUGUUGUUGUUAGACGUACAUAUCACGUUGCUAUAACGUCCUGUUUCGCUAUCAACUUCUCUAAUUUUUUUAGGCAAGAAUGAUUGAAUCAAGAGCAUAUGAAGAAUUUUUCAUAACAUGUUGAUUGGGUUUGUUCUAUUCUGUUGCUCUUCACUUGAACAACCAAGGAGCGAUCAAACGAUGGUCACAGUUUAAAAUUUAUGCCAUUUUUAUUUGUCUAUUUAGGUUAAUUUCUUAUAGUUAGCACAUUUAUUUGGGAUGCUAGUUUAUCAGUAUUACAGAAACACAAAAAUAUUUCACCUCAAUCUCCUUUGGUUUACGAGUAAACUUAAAAUGAAUCUUGAAAGACAUAACCACACCAGGUUCGGUGUCUGUAUAUUCGACUAAUUAUUGUUUUCAAGAAGCGCCGUUGCAAAGAAUUUACAUGAGAUCAAAUUCAAAUUGAGCUCUGCCUCUGCUGCUGCUGCAUACGUGACCCAUAAUCCAUCCCGGCGGCCGGCAACCGUUUCGUAAGUCCGUUACGGUGUUUCCAAAGUGCUUUUCUUAAGGAAAUUAAGGAGGAUUUGGUGCAUCUUCCAGAGACAGCUCUUCACUGCCCUACCAACGAAGUCCAUAAAAAUGGCUGUAUAAAGAACAACAAAUCAGAAUCCACUCCAGAGGUCUCACAAAGGUUUAAGGGAAAACUCCAGUUGAACAAAAGAAUUCAGAUUAUCUCUAGUUGGGGCUGCAGAUGAAGCCACAUCUUCAAGAUCUGCAGAUUCAGAUCUAAGAGGAUUUGUAGCUGUGUCAGAGGCAGAGGCUGCAGCUUCUGCUGUAGGUUCAGGAGGGGAGGAUGUGGAUGAUGUUUUGCCAGCCCCAGUACGCAGUUUAGAGGUGCUGGAUGACUCGUGUACUAAGUUAACUGAUGAAACAUUCAAAAAGAAAUUGACACUGUAUUUGUCAUCAUUAGGAUGGCACAGCCUUGGAGAGACAGUUCAUAGGAUUAAAAAGCUUGGAAGCAAUAGUGUGUGGUCCUCAUAGUCUAAAGGGAAGAAAAGGAAAGCUACCAUUUACUGAUCUUCCUAUCUGCAAAGUUGUCAUCAGAGCAUGCUUAAGAAACUACAGAAAGCAAAAUUAUCUGAAGUGGAAGACGAAAUAAGUGAAGCCCUGAACCAUGUCCCUAAAAGAUAAGGUGGCCUAAAGUAUAAGGAUCCUGAACCUAAAAGACCCAAUUAUUUAACAGCACAAGUCAUCCGAUUCAGAAAACUAGGCGCAGAUUAAAUCAAGACAGAGUGCACACACAC
Long non-coding RNA from Macrobrachium nipponense, 1504 nucleotides. RefSeq lists it as uncharacterized. Lineage: Eukaryota; Metazoa; Arthropoda; Malacostraca; Decapoda; Palaemonidae. The transcript has 9 exons. The record is from RefSeq and is a predicted model, not a curated record.